AGUGAACAUGUUUAAAGAUUGUUCUUUGGAGCAAAUUCCAUCUGCUUUGUCAGGAAAUCAGCAGUUUGGUUCACAAGAGUGCACAGAGGCAGCUCAGUCUACUUGUAAACACUUCACAGAUAUAUCAGCAGGUCAGUCCAGUAGUGUUGGGAUAGCAGCAGUGGUGGCAUGACUUAGCAGAGACAGCCAGGCCUCAGCCAAAUCAGCACGAGUUAGCAGGAGGGACCAGGACCAGCAGGGACCCCAGGAGAAGUUCUUCAACAUGCUCAACAAGGCAAAGACAAGAGACCAAGAAGCUUUGCAAAGCUAGCUUUGCAAGCAAGCCAAGCCUCCGUCACUGUCCCUUGACUCCUAUUUAUACUUCCACAAAACAUCGUGUGUCCUCCACAGGUCCUGCCUCAGCACGUGUCUUGCCUCAGCACGAGUCUGUCUUAGCAAAACUCCAUGUGACAAAUGGAGCUCAACAACACAUGUAAGGCAAACCAAAACAUGUAUGACAUUAGCAAAGAAUCCUUCAUCAGGCAGCCUCUCACAUGCUUGCUUCAGUGAAACAUCCUUUCAUCUGUGUUUGCAUCAGGAAAACACUCCUUCAUGUGUUUGGCCCAGCAAAAUACCAUCUGACGCAAUUGUCUUUCCAGAGAACCCUUAAUUUUCCACUUCAGUUCUGGGUUCUGUUGUAGGGAUUGAUUGUGCAGCUUAUGGGUAAAACCCAUAGACAUCUCUAGGCAGUGGUGUGGAAGCCCCUGCCCCAAGGCCACAAAUUCCUGUGGUGUGGUGGACACCAUGACUAUCUAAGUCCUGUGGAGCAAUUCAGCUCUAGCCUCCAAUGGCUCCCUCUGUAGGACACAGGCGAGUGCCUAAGUAUGGUCUCUGCUCUGCAUCUCUUAGAGAUGCAGUCAUGCAACUCCACCCUUGCUCCUCAAGGCGAGCUUUCUCCUGGAGGCUGUGAGGAGACUUUGAAGCACUCAAGCUGCAAUUCUCCCAGCAUGCUCAGUAAUAUCUGAGUGCAAGAAAACCAACCUGAGGUUUGGAAUAAGGCUCCAUUAUGUAAGUGCAAAAAUGGGACAGCAUCUAUCAGCUCUUUAGCAUAUAGAUAGAUGGAUAGAUCCUUAGCAUAGCACAGGCUCAGGGAAAGCUUCCAACUUCUCCAUCAGUGCUUUAAAUUGUGUUCCUCUGACUUGGGAAGGCAUAGAGUGAUAUUCAAAACGAGAGGCCAGCAGAGGGCUAGGGUGCAGUCCUGUCUAAAAGAGAGGCCAGCAGAGGGCUAGGGUACAGUCCUGUGUGUGGUAUGGAUCCCAGAAUGUCACAUCCCAUUAACAGCCUCAGUUCCUUUCCAUGCUCCAGGAGAGUGUUCUAGAUCCAGGGUGGCCAGCCUUCUCAGUAGAAGGCGGAAUCUCAAGGUUGUGUAGGGUUAUAUAGCUACUUUGCUCAUCACUGUGAUAGAACACCCGGCAGAAACAAAUAGAAAAUAUGUAUUCUAGCUUGUUGUUCAGAAGUCAUGGUCCAUCACGAUGGGAAAGACAUGGCAGCAGGAUCAGCUCUGUGGUAGUGGGAGCAUGGGGCAGCCAGAACCAGAGAGCUGAAAUGGGAUAUGGAGCCAACCUACAACCCUGUGUCCUGGCCUCAACAACCUGUUUCCUCCAGCUAGACCCAGCCUCCUAAAGGUUCCACAGUCCCCCAAAAGAGUGCUACCAACUAGGGACCAAGUCCAAACCUGUGAGCCUGUGGGAUACAUUUCACAUAACCUAAACCAUAACACAGGCCAUUCACUCACUCUGACUCUAUUUCAUGGCUGCUUUUCAAAGGCAUUGUGAGCUGUGCAUGACCUUGUGCUAACAGCUUCAUCUUCAGACACAGCUUGUGUUAGUCAUGCCAACCGGCUUGCCCAUCCCAGGCCUUGGUGGCCUCCAAAUGUCCUUUAAACUUCAGUCCCUUCAGCUGACAAUUGAUGUAUCCUCUCUAUGAAACCUGCAGCAAAGUUGAAGUUGGAUGGAUCAGUGGGCUGAUCGUGGGGAAGCCUUGAGCUGCCAACCAGAGACAUUGGAGGUGACAAGAAACGCCUCAGCCUAUGAAGCUCGGCCCAUCUGGGUCCAUCCUCCCACUAUUCCUCCCUGUAAACAUCCUUCAGAUGUGUUCACUUCUAUCAGAGUGACCCUCGGAAUCCGUGUUUUCGCCAUCACCACGAUGCAGAAGAUAGCUGGGGGCAAGGAGCAAAAGGCAGGCCACGGGUUACCAAGCCCCAGCCCCCUCUGUGCUGGGUGCCCUCACGCAGCUGGAUGACAGAGCCAAAGGCCUUUCUGCUGAGGAUCUCCCGUGGGCCUGGUUUCUCCCAGCUUGAAUCGGUUCCCAAAGUGGUUUCCCCUCUUCUCUGAGAGGUGGCAUCUGUAAGGAAGAGCCGGAGGCAGAGGCCGACUGCUCCUCUCAGCGCUUUCUCCGCCUCACUCCGAGGACUAAGUGGAUGGAGAGAGAGCUCCUAAUUAAAUCACGUCAUUAAAAAAAAAGGACACCAUUUUCUAUCUGAAUGCGCCCUGCAGUUCUCACGGUGGGUAAUUUGUCGUUUUAAUAAGCUGGAGGUUGAAUUCCAAGGUUGUAGCCACUGACGCUGCACAGAAACAGCCGUGGUGUUCUGGCAGUAUGCUCGCUCCUGGGAAGGUUCCCGGGAAAGCUGGCAAGUGGCAAGUCCUUACACAAACUCUGCUUGCUGGAGACCUGGGAGCCAACUAGUGUUUCUCAACAUGCUGUAGAAGGUCAAUCUGGGCCAAGGAGAUAAACGAAAGCCUUUUGCUAACUGAAAACCUGAAAUGGGAUGUGAUGGUGGGGCUCCUGCCUCUGUAUGUCUGAGCAGAAGUGUCCCAUCUUCCAGCCUCAUUCAGUUCUGGGUUAGGGCGGCUGAAGGGGCCACAGUGCUUGGAGUGUCCCCAUCAGUUCUAGCUCAAAGCAGCUUGGGUGACCUUGGUCGAGGGACAGGGAGCUCUCUCGCAGGCUGGCCAUUCUCAUCUGUGGACAUGACAUGGCAGUAACUCUGACCCCUCAGGAAGGUGAAGGUGACAAUCAGAGGAGGUAGUUGGUGGCUGAUAAAACUGAAGCUUUCACCUCUCCACAUUCGAGGAGGUAGAGGGCAAAGACCUUAGGAGCAGUGUAGGGUGCUUCUGGAUUCAGUAUCCUUUACAUCCAGGAGCAUAGCUUUGUGGCUGACAUGGGUAGAAAGAGACUACAGUGAGGACUUCUAUUGGCUGGGAACUGAGCAGCUGUGGUUGGCUUGGACAAGCAGGGCCAUCCUUGUACGGGCUGCCAACCAACUUUGUGUUCUUGGCCUGGCCCUGCUUGGGAUUCUUUCCAGACUUCCUGAACCCUUUUCUCAUGGUCCCUUGAGCUGCCUGUACACAGAGGCCCCUCUGUUACUCUUCUUCAGCAACAGUCAACACGCUGAGACCAUUUUGUAUUCCCCAAGACCCUGGAGAAAGUUUUGCAUUGGCUUGCUACCUUCUGCCCUCCACCCCACCCACCCCCCAUGUUUUCACAUCAGUUAGGCUUCAGGUAAAAUUCCACUGAAGGCUUCCCUGAUAAGCACAGACUCUAAUUGUAUUGAUUCUACAGAGAUCUGUGCUUAUGAACCUGACAGCAUUAGUCUCUUGGUCCCUGUGAUUACCUGAUGAUCACGGAGCUGCUCUGUAGGCACAGGGUCCCCUGGGGAGGCUGAUGGACCAGGGCCAGCCCUCUGUUGUGAGGCACACUCCCAUCCUCUUAGAAAAUAGAAAUCUGUGGCUCGAAUCGAUGUGCUCCCCUGCGGCCCAGCACCUCAUAGCCCAUCCUUUUGUUGGCACUCGGUGGCGGCAGCUGUUUGGGUCUGUUUUCCUUCUGUUGGGAACAAGCUUCUCCUUGCUACAGUUUCCCAGGGGUCCUUCACCACACAAGCAGCCAGGACUCAGCCUCACUCAGGGCUCUGUUAGUGCAUUCUCAUGUGCAUUUCCCAUUUCUCUUCUUCCCUCCUCCCUCCUCUCAUCCUCUCUCCAUCCUUUGUGGCCAAGCACUUGCUCUUCCUGUGUCUCACCUUUCCUCUCAGCUCAGUGGCUGUUGGUUGGGCAUGCGAACAGUAGGCAACAGCACUUACGAGUGACAUGGCCUCUGUUAUCAAAACCACAACCCUCAGCCUAGCAGAAACCAGUCUUACAUCAUCACGUUCCCCCAUCCUACAUGGGGGCCUGAAAAUCUAGAGAUUGUUAUGGUAACGACAGAUGUUAAAUAAAAUUAGAAGGAAUUUUAGGGGGCUGAAGAACUGGCUCAGUGGUUAAGGGCCCUUGCUGCUCUUCUAGAGGAUCUGAGUUCAGUUCCCAGCAGCCGUGUUCAUUGGUUCAAGCUUCAGGGGAUCCAACGACCCUGCAGCAUUCGUACAUUCACAGACACAGAAACAUGUAACAAUCAAAUAAGAGUAAGGUUAGGGUUAAAACAGUGGUGAGGACACUAAGAAAGGUGAAUAAAGGGCAUGCUGCAUGGUGUGAGGCAACCAAACUGCCGCUGGGGGAAGGGGCAGGGGCGGAGGAAGGAUAGGGCUCUGGGGUAGUAGAGAUGAAAUAUAGAUAGGUUUUAAAAGAUGUUAACUCAAGAAUACUGGAGGGGAGUGGGAGUGUUUGCUAGCUUUGGGCAGGUUUAGAAGUGCCCAACCACCACCACCACCAGCACUGGAAAGAGAGGCCCAUUAGACACGCAAACUUUAUAUGCCCCAGUACAGGGGAACGCCAGGGCCAAAAAAAAAAAAAAAAAAGGGAAUGGGUGGGUAGGGAAGUGGGGGGAGGGUAUGGGGGACUUUGGGGAUAGCAUUGGAAAUGUAAUUGAGGAAAAUAUGUAAUAAAAAAUAAAAAAAUAAAGAAGUGCCCAACCAAAGAGCUAGUCAAUGCUUAUCAAAAUUAGCUGGUGUGCAUGCGUGCCUGUGUCAGGGAGCCAAAGAGAAUUAACCAAUUCACUGCUACAGUGUGGGCCACCACAUCUAGCAGAUAAAAUGGCUAAUCUUGACUGUCAAUUUGAUGAGAUUAGGAUUGCCAGAGAAACAAACCUCCGCAAAAGUCUGUGAAGGGUUAUCUAUUAGACUAGCUGAGGUGGAAAGACCCAGCCUAAGUGUGGGCGAUGGCCCCGUUCUCUGGGCUAUGUGGUUCUAGAUUGCAUAAGAUGGAGACUGAGCUGAGCAUCAUCUGCUUCCAGACUGCAGAGUCCUGAGACCAGCCACCUCAAGUUCCUGCUACCAAGACAUCCCCACCACAGUGGACUCCACUCUAAAACUGCAACAAAAUAAACCCUGAAGUUGCAUUCCUUAGGUAUCUUACCAUUGCAACAAAAUAAAUGACCAAUACAGCCAGCCAUGAUGGCACAUGCCUUUAAUUCAGGAUUCAGAAGGCAGAGGUAGGUAGAUCUCCGAGGUGAAAGUCAGCCUGAUCUACAUCGUCAUUCUUAGGUCAGCCUGGGCUGCAGAGUGAGACCUGUCUUAAACCAAAUGAGGGCAUUGCCAAGGAAGCUCCUGUGUGUCCACAGGCUCCUUCUGCUCCACUGGAGGCUAUGGAGGCCUGAAAAGGAGCUAAAGGCACCUUCUCCAGAGUUAUCACUCCUCUAGCUAAGGAGCCCUCUCUGUACCUAUUCAGAGUCUGUAGGGGCGUGGCUUUGUAGUCUCUUUUUCCGGUUUCUGGGAUCCCAGCUGGCCUAAAAGUGUGGGGAUGCUUCUGCUCCUCUGGUAUGAGAGUCUGAGCAGCGCGUGUAGCUGGCCGCAUCUGCUGACCUAGUUCUCAGCCCUGCAGUGGUGCCUGAGAGCAAGUAGAGCUAAGUCAAGUCUCAUGUUUCCGCUUCACACUGUCUCCCUCAGCCUAAACCUGGGCUGGCUCCUCCUGUUGUCGUCUCCCUGUCUCAGAAAUAAUGAGGCAUCAUGGGUCGGCUGCAUGUUGCCUAUGAACAGCAAGUGGUGGCCUUGAGUGGGGGAUGUUUGCUAAGAGGAGCCGUGGAGGGCAGAGGCAGCACCAGCUGCUCAGCUAGCAGUCCUGGAGUCUGUGCCAGCAACAGUCCAUCUGCUUAUUCAUGGAACUGGACAUAAUAAAUCCAGCUGUUGGCUGAUGUUGCAAAUGGACCUUUUGCUAGUGCUGAUGAGAACAAACUAAGUAAUAGGCUGUGUCCAGAGCUGGGUAAUGGCCAUCUAUUAGCUUCUGUGGAAACACUCACGUUAAGAAAAUCACAUCUUGUGUGGCUCUGCAGCUGAAGGAACAGCUUGUUAAAAUUUUCCACUCAGGCAGCCUAGAGAGCUCUCAGGGUUUAUAUACCAAAGACCAGGAGUGUUUACUGGAAAAGCUGAAACCCGCACAGGCUCAGUGGAUGCCAGUGACCUACCUUAUGAAAUCCCCUUAUGAAAGUUAACCUUUCUGGAUGGGGACAGCAGCAGUGGGCUAGUGGAGAUGAGGCAGGGGACGCAGCAUGCACAUGUUGUCUCUCUCAGUGUGUCAGUUGGUGCCAUAGGACAGACUGUAAUUGCCUGUUACAAGAAGAGCAAGAUCACACUUCUAACUCCCUGGGCCAGAAGCCACUCAGCUGCUCCACUAUGACAAGGAUCACCAGGCUCAUUCCUUGGCUUGGGAUGUGGCUCUUUCCACUGAGAGGUGUCAUAUCAACCUUUGGGCAUCACACAGUAAAUGGUGUCGCCAGGAACUGCUGUCAGUUGCAGGGUCUGGAGACUUUUUGGAAAGGUUUUGGUAUUAGGGAAAGAGAGUACAUGCAAGGCAGUGCAGAAGAGCUUCCAGAACUUUCCUAAGAAGCAGCAGCAGAUCUGAAAUCAGUUUGCCUGUUUUACCAGUGUCGGGGGUUGAACUGAGAGUACUGGGCAAGCACUCUUCCACUCAGCUCUAUCCCCCAGCCACACCUCCUUGGCCCUCUCUCAGUCUGUAGCUGUCAGUCUUUCUGGGCCUUGCCAGACUGUCGUUGUGCACUGGAAGACAGAAAUCAUGGUCUUUAUUAAGGCACAGCUUCUCUCAGCCCUGAUCUUGGCUCCUGACUCCUUUCUACCAUUUCCCAGAUUCCCUUCUGGGGACCUGCUUGCCUUCCUUGCCCCUCACAGACAUUCUCUCUGCCUACUAAACAUCUACAAUUAUACCUGUAAUCUCACCCUCGAGAGACUAAAGCAGGACAGUCAGUUUGCGAGCUAUCAGGAUUACGCAGUCUGAACUUCAUUAAGGAAACAAACAAAAAGCAACAAAACCAGACAAACAUGCCCCAGCCCCAGAACCCUCCCGAGCCUGUCUGUCCUCUUGCUACCUUCUGAUAGAUUAGCAGCUGCUCUCCUUCUUUGCUCUCCUAGAAGACAAAUAUAGCUGCCUCCUUCCCCACAGGGUAUAAAGAUAUAAUUAGAUUACAUGGUGAGCAUAGUUUGACUCAGUUCUUCUGGUUGCCAAUACUCGCCAGAGGCAAGGCAGAUGCCAAAGCCAAGCUCUGGGACUUCCACUCUCCAGAACCAUGGGCCUACAGGGGCUUCUGUUGGAGACUGACCACGUAAGAGCAUUCAUUCCUUGGGUACCAGCUCCUCAAGUAGCACUUGUACACAUGGGAAAUGACUACUGCUUUCUUCCUACCACGUAUCCCUAAAUAAGCCUUGGCCGACUGUCUGAAUACUGCCUUGCCAUUUAUAUUGCCUUAUGGCUAUACCAUAGAAUAAAUCGUACAUUUACUGUGAUGACAAGUCUUGAUUGGCACCUUGACUGGAUCAAGAAAUAACUAAGAGACGCACUUCUGGAUGGGUCUGUGAGGGUGUUUCUAAGAAGAAUAACUCAGUGGGGGAAGAGCUUCCCUUCGAAGAUGCAGUCCCUUUCAAAGGUGGUUCAGAUAUGAGGAGGUCUGAGGAAAAGUGUUGCCUGCCUGCUUGCCCAUCGCCUGUGAGUUGGACAAUAUGGGUCACAUGGGGUUGCUACAGAAUGAAAAGGAAGCAUCUCCUACUGACUCUUGUGCUGCGCACUUAAUGCCCAGCUUUGUGGGACUAUCUUGGGAGGAGAACUUCAGACGGUGAGACCUAGUUGGAGGAAGUAGGUAACUGGAAGCAGGCCCUGAAUGGCACUUUGUCCCUGGUCCUGGCCCCUUUCUGUCUGUGUUUCUUCUUGUGUGUCACAAGUGGAAAACCUCCUCACCAUGAAGUUCUGGGACCAAGCAACUGUGAGCUGAAACCUCUGAAUUCUUGACCCAAAAUAAAACUGUAUCCUCUUGUUUCUAUCAGA
This is a long non-coding RNA of Mus musculus (house mouse), 8231 nucleotides long. RefSeq annotates it as predicted gene, 31406. The record is from RefSeq and is a predicted model, not a curated record. The transcript is spliced from 5 exons. Lineage: Eukaryota; Metazoa; Chordata; Mammalia; Rodentia; Muridae.